This 406-nucleotide ribosomal RNA is filed under the name uncultured bacterium. Its description in RNAcentral is "partial 16S ribosomal RNA". It matches the Rfam family "Bacterial small subunit ribosomal RNA", at positions 30 to 526 of the family's 1533-position model. The record is from RNAcentral.
AUUGAACGCUGGCGGCAGGCCUAACACAUGCAAGUCGAACGAGUGGCGGACGGGUGAGUAAUGCUUGGGAAUCUAGCUUAUGGAGGGGGAUAACUACGGGAAACUGUAGCUAAUACCGCGUACCAUAGGAUGAGCCCAAGUGGGAUUAGGUAGUUGGUGAGGUAAAGGCUCACCAAGCCGACGAUCCCUAGCUGGUCUGAGAGGAUGACCAGCCACACUGGAACUGAGACACGGCCCAGACUCCGACGGGAGGCAGCAGUGGGGAAUAUUGCGCAAUGGGCGCAAGCCUGACGCAGCCAUGCCGCGUGAAUGAAGAAGGCCUUCGGGUUGUAAAGUUCUUUCGGUAGCGAGGCGUUAACUACAGAAGAAGCACCGGCUAACUCCGUGCCAGCAGCCGCGGUAAUUC